RNAcentral lists this ribosomal RNA (305 nucleotides) under uncultured bacterium. RNAcentral describes it as "bacterial SSU rRNA". It matches the Rfam family "Bacterial small subunit ribosomal RNA", at positions 333 to 635 of the family's 1533-position model. The record is from RNAcentral.
GUUUUCCUACGGGACGCAGUAGUGAGGAAUAUUGGUCAAUGGGCUUACGCCUGAACCAGCCAAGUCGCGUGAGGGAAGACUGCCCUAUGGGUUGUAAACCUCUUUUGUCAGGGAGCAAUUGGCGCUACAUGUAGCGUUAUCGAGAGUACCUGAAGAAAAAGCAUCGGCUAACUCCGUGCCAGCAGCCGCGGUAAUACGGAGGAUGCGAGCGUUAUCCGGAUUUAUUGGGUUUAAAGGGUGCGUAGGCGGAAUGCCAAGUCAGCGGUAAAAUCGCGGGGCUCAACCCCGCUCCGCCGUUGAAACUG